RNAcentral lists this small nuclear RNA (20 nucleotides) under Arabidopsis thaliana (thale cress). RNAcentral describes it as "snRNA_01133". The record is from RNAcentral. Lineage: Eukaryota; Viridiplantae; Streptophyta; Magnoliopsida; Brassicales; Brassicaceae.
GUGAAACUGAUACGACUCGG